Small nuclear RNA from Calidris pygmaea (Spoon-billed sandpiper), 98 nucleotides. NCBI's taxonomy places the organism in Eukaryota, Metazoa, Chordata, Aves, Charadriiformes, Scolopacidae. The record is from Ensembl.
AUAUUCAGGCAAGUAGAUUUGUUGGAACGAUACAGAGAAGAUUAGCAUGGGCCCUGCACAAGGAUGACACGCAAAUUUGUGAAGCGUUCCAUGUUUUU